ACGGAGGGUGCAAGCGUUAAUCGGAAUCACUGGGCGUAAAGCGCUCGUAGGCUGUUUGGUAAGUCAGACGUGAAAGCCCUCGGCUUAACCGGGGAACUGCGUUUGAUACUGCCAGACUUGAGUGUCGGAGAGGGUGGCGGAAUUCCGGGUGUAGGAGUGAAAUCCGUAGAUAUCCGGAGGAACACCAGUGGCGUAGGCGGCCACCUGGACGAUAACUGUCGCUUAGGAGCGAAAGCGUGGGGAGCAAACAG
This 251-nucleotide ribosomal RNA is filed under the name uncultured prokaryote. Its description in RNAcentral is "partial 16S rRNA". It matches the Rfam family "Bacterial small subunit ribosomal RNA", at positions 525 to 775 of the family's 1533-position model. The record is from RNAcentral.